CAUCCCUCAGUGACUCUCUGACUUGCUUUCACUUUCUUAUUUACCUUUAUUCAAACAGGUGAAGUGCCACCUCCCCCUGGCUAGCCGCUCUUCCCACUCGGCCUCACAAUCCUCUGCUCAUCGCCUGGGCUCCUCUGCUAAGCGAAGCCAGCGCCGCCAAGUAUCUGCUGCCGACUCUUCUGCUUCCUCGGCGCCUCCUCCUCCUACUGCCGCAGCUCCUGCUCCUCCUCCCGUGCAACGCAGACAACCCGCCCCCAGACUGGAUACUCCGUGGCCUUCUAAGAAACCCAGACCGUCCUGAAUAGGCGUGUAUCGGGCUGCGAGUGGCAACGUUGCCCUCACGGCCCCGGCCUCUUCCUCCAUCAGCAGAGCCAUGGAUGAGCACAACAGGCCAGGCAUGGAUCGUGUGGAUAGCCUGGCAGAGUGUUUGGAGGAGCUGAGGAACCAGACCAGGCUGACCCUAAACAACCAGCAGGUCAGCAACCUUGUGGACUAUGACAAGCAGAGAGUGGUGUUGGCGUCCAGGCACCAGGACAGGCUUACCACAGGGAGGUUCAGGUCUCCUAACAAGAAGGCAGAGUUCACUCCAGGUGUGGACAGUCUGAAGCGGUGUUCCCUCAGUUCCACUGCUUCACCUGCCCAGUGGCCAGACUGCUGCCGUCUUGUGGAGGCCAUCUUUGUCAGGCUCUGUUCCAUCCACAGUCCCGAGAAGAAGGGACACUGACUAGAUGGACUCUCAUUUUUCAGGACUACCGCAGCAUACGGCAGCUGGUUCUGGCCAGUGGGGCCAUAAUGCAGAUGACAACCCUGCAGCUGGUGGAGGUGAACCAGACCACCCUCAUCCAGUGGCACAACGGCAGGGUCAAAAGGCAGGAUCUUGCGAUGCUACUGCAGGGGAUUAAUCUGCCUGGUCUCCUCCCUGUGGCUUCUGAGCCUUGAGACCCGGCCAAUGUCCGGCCAGCAGUUGCUCCACCUUAACACCAGGCAGAGACAUUAGUUUAUCCCCUGCCCAGGAGCACUGCAGGGCAGGCAAAGACAAAGCGACGGUCCACCACUGUAAUCACACCACCAGUGGCAGUUCGACCAAGACUGGAAGCACAGAGGCAGCUAUUCCCCCAGGCUUCAACUUCUCCAUUCAUUGUUCCGGCAGCCCCUGUCCUCCAUGGA
This is a long non-coding RNA of Esox lucius (northern pike), 1167 nucleotides long. RefSeq lists it as uncharacterized. The record is from RefSeq and is a predicted model, not a curated record. NCBI's taxonomy places the organism in Eukaryota, Metazoa, Chordata, Actinopteri, Esociformes, Esocidae. The transcript has 4 exons.